GCGGGAGUAGCUCAGUGGUAGAGCAUCACCUUGCCAAGGUGAGGGUCGCGAGUUCUAGCCUCGUUUCCCGCUCCA
This 75-nucleotide transfer RNA is filed under the name Megamonas funiformis. RNAcentral's name for it is "tRNA-Gly". It matches the Rfam family "tRNA". From Rfam's summary of the family: Transfer RNA (tRNA) molecules are approximately 80 nucleotides in length. Lineage: Bacteria; Bacillati; Bacillota; Negativicutes; Selenomonadales; Selenomonadaceae. The record is from RNAcentral.